GGUAAUGUAGCUCAGUUGGUGGAGUGCUUGCUUUGUAUGCAUGAAGCCCUGGGUUCAAUCCCCAGCACCACAA
RNAcentral lists this transfer RNA (73 nucleotides) under Marmota monax (woodchuck). Its description in RNAcentral is "tRNA.Thr". It matches the Rfam family "tRNA". Rfam says of the family: Transfer RNA (tRNA) molecules are approximately 80 nucleotides in length. Their secondary structure includes four short double-helical elements and three loops (D, anti-codon, and T loops). Further hydrogen bonds mediate the characteristic L-shaped molecular structure. tRNAs have two regions of fundamental functional importance: the anti-codon, which is responsible for specific mRNA codon recognition, and the 3' end, to which the tRNAs corresponding amino acid is attached (by aminoacyl-tRNA synthetases). tRNAs cope with the degeneracy of the genetic code in two manners: having more than one tRNA (with a specific anti-codon) for a particular amino acid; and 'wobble' base-pairing, i.e. permitting non-standard base-pairing at the 3rd anti-codon position. Lineage: Eukaryota; Metazoa; Chordata; Mammalia; Rodentia; Sciuridae. The record is from RNAcentral.